GGUUUUUAUUUGUAUUGGUGUAGACGGUAGAGUAUUACCGUAUAUACGACUCUUCCUCAAAUCCAUUUGGAAUUUUUACUUCAUCAUUUACCAUGGACGGAGGCCCUUCUUCCUCAGCCAUCGGCGCAAGUCGUGUACUCUGCCUCCGUCGCCAUAAAAUAAACACCGCUCCUUAAUGACAUUGGGGAUGAGAACUUUGUUUGAUCCAAUGGCAUGUGACAGAGUGAGUCACGUAGCACGUAGCAUGUGACUUGAGUUAUCACCGUUGCCUCCAUGAGCCAAAAGGAUUUGCAAGGUUGAUGACAGUGAGAUAUGCAUACUUAGCUUGUCAUUUUUGCUUGAAUUUCUCUAUUAAUUAUUCUAUCCAAACAAAUAAUUUUAAGGAUGAGGAAAUUUAAUUAUUUUCUGUAUAAAAAAAAUUUAGAAAUUAAGGGAAUUCAAUUGAUGCAUAAUAAAAAAUUCUUAGAAUUUUAAAUUCUUUGAAAUUCUCAAUUUCCUCAUCCAAACACAAUAAGCUUAGGGAGACCUUUUAUGUUUUUACCAAAAAUGUUAGCAUUGCCAGCGUAUUGCCUAUCA
Long non-coding RNA from Glycine soja, 576 nucleotides. RefSeq lists it as uncharacterized. The record is from RefSeq and is a predicted model, not a curated record. The transcript is spliced from 2 exons. NCBI's taxonomy places the organism in Eukaryota, Viridiplantae, Streptophyta, Magnoliopsida, Fabales, Fabaceae.